GAUGAACGCUGGCGGCGUGCCUAAUACAUGCAAGUCGAGCGAACAGAUGAGGAGCUUGCUCCUCUGACGUUAGCGGCGGACGGGUGAGUAACACGUGGAUAACCUACCUAUAAGACUGGGAUAACUUCGGGAAACCGGAGCUAAUACCGGAUAAUAUAUUGAACCGCAUGGUUCAAUAGUGAAAGACGGUUUUGCUGUCACUUAUAGAUGGAUCCGCGCCGCAUUAGCUAGUUGGUAGGGUAACGGCUUACCAGGGCAACGAUGCGUAGCCGACCUGAGAGGGUGAUCGGCCCCUCUGGAGCUGAGACGCGGCCCAGACUCCUACGGGAGGCAGCAGUAGGGAAUCGUCCGCAAUGGGCGAAAGCCUGACGGAGCAACGCCGCGUGGGUGAUGAAGGUCUUCGGAUCGUAAAACGCUGUUAUUAGGGAAGAACAAAUGUGUAAGUAACGAUGCACGUCUUGACGGUACCGAAGCAGAAAGCCACGGCUAACUACGU
This 496-nucleotide ribosomal RNA is filed under the name uncultured bacterium. RNAcentral describes it as "partial 16S ribosomal RNA". It matches the Rfam family "Bacterial small subunit ribosomal RNA", at positions 28 to 506 of the family's 1533-position model. The record is from RNAcentral.